Molecule: long non-coding RNA, 600 nt
Organism: Neocloeon triangulifer
Lineage: Eukaryota; Metazoa; Arthropoda; Insecta; Ephemeroptera; Baetidae
Exons: 3
Source: RefSeq, a predicted model, not a curated record
UCCUGUGCAUGCAUCUCCGCUGAAGACUGUUGUAGCCUCGUCAAGCACCAGAACAGUCAAGCACAGUCUUCAGUGGCACCAUCCUUCUGCAGGGCGUCCUGCACGCUGCCCUUCAAUGAGAGGAGGCACCUGGUGCCCAUACACUUCAUGAAGUCCCGACUAGAAAGCCUGGAAGCUCGGAACGAGUCGCUCGUCAUUUGUUGGAGAGGCCAGUCCGCCCAUUUGCGGCCGGUCGGUGCACGACGAUUUUAGCAUCGGAGACUCCAGCAGAGUCUUCAAGUGGCAGCAACCUUUAUCAGGGCGUCCUGCUCCCUGCCUUUGAAUGAAUGGAGGCCACUGGUGCUCAAAUACUCGGCAAAAUCAGCCCAGAAAGUCUGGCAGCUCGCAGCGAGUCACUCGUCAUCGGCAGGCGAUGCCAGGCCGCCUCCUGUGCAUGCAUCUCCGCUGAAGACUGUUGUAGCCUCGUCAAGCACCAGCACAGUCAAGCACAGUCUUCAGUGGCACCAUCCUUCUGCAGGGUGUCCUGCACGCUGCCCUUCAAUGAGAGGAGGCACCUGGUGCCCAUUCACUCCAUGAAGUCCCGACUAGAAAGCCUGGAAG